This 1849-nucleotide long non-coding RNA is filed under the name Physcomitrium patens. Its description in RNAcentral is "long non-coding RNA (PPAT_LNC011110)". The record is from RNAcentral. Lineage: Eukaryota; Viridiplantae; Streptophyta; Bryopsida; Funariales; Funariaceae.
UUACAUGGAUCAAAUUCAAUACAUCUUUCAAAUUCCAAUGUUAUAUAUAAGCUCCUUUUUUUUGCAACCUCACAUAUCAUAUCAUAAAACCAUUCCAAUUUUAAGAAAAUCUCUAAAAAUGUUUCUAUGUUUGAUCUUUGUAGUAAUAUAAUUAGUUGCCAAUCUCUUGUACAACUUGCCACCACUACCUUUGCCUUCACAAUUAUUCAAAAUAAAUCUUCCAAUAGUGACAAAAAAAACAUAAACAUGAGGUCUAAAAAUUGUCUUUGUAUCCUUCUAUAUUUUCUCUAAAAUAAGCAAAAAGUUCUUGUAUUAUCUUGCAUUAAAAAAUUCUUCAUCUUGAUUUUGAACGAUUACAAAUCCUAAUUUUGAAAAUUACAUGUCCAAAAAAAUCUCCAUUUGUUUAAAGAAAUUGGCACAAAUAUAUCACUUGCACAUACAUAUUACAUUAUCCAUUGAAAUGCAAACAACUUAAAUUAAAUUUACAUAUAUUCAUAAUUACUUAUGACCUUUAAUUUUUUUGAAACAAGAUUAGUUACAAAAGCACAACAAAAGGCCUUACAAUCUAAUACUCAACUAUCAUCCAACAAAAAUUCUAUGUUGUUGAGUGUCUUUUUCAAUUAUAAACUCAUAUAUUUAUGUUAUUUGUCUAGAAUAUAAGACAAAAUCCAUAAAAUUAAAAUUAUUACAUAUCCACUAAUGCUUGGUCUAUUCAUUUUAUUUUGUACAAUAUUAGCAUUCAAAACCCCCAAAAAAUUAUAAUAUAUUUUGAAGAAAUUAUAAAGACCAUCAAAAGAGAAAAUAACUAGUCAUUCAUAAUCUAAAUACAAAACUUGGUAUAUUUUUACUUAAUAAAUAAUAAAAUUAGAUAGAAACUCUAUUUAAACAUCCAACCAUCAAAUAUCAAAUAUCUAUGUCUCUAAUAUGAAGCUCCUACUUAAAUUAAAAUAAAACUUAUUUAUAAAUCAGCAACAUUACUACCCGUUUCCUUGACUAGUUCUAAAAACAACUAGACUGUGUACUGUAAAUAAGAAAACUAAAGAAUUGAUGUAGCAAAAGAAAGUAGAGUGAUUUCACCUUUUGACAAUGCCACAAACUUGACGACCUUCCUUCAAUCAAGCAUCCACUCCAGUCCCCUCAAUGCUUCAAUUUCAAUGACCCUCAACAAAGUACCGACUAACGAACAACAGUGAAUUUACCGGUGUUGUGCAGUACACUCACAGGUCGGAAAGCUAACAGAGAGAGGCUCCGACCAGAGAAAAUUCACCAAUCCACCAGACUGAUUGCAGAAAAACCGAUGCUCCCCCAACUAAGAAACGACUCACGAACAAAGGUGUAUCGAACUGUGUUGAGCACUACACUCUCAGAGCUAACAAAAUCCAACGAACAUCAGCAUCACAACUAAAUUUCUUUUUGUUAAAAACAGAAGAAAACAACCCAAAAAAGGAUUCCUCUGGCUUGGGCGACCAGCUUCUAAUGAUGGAUGGGUGAGAGAAGAAUCGAAAAAACAGAAGAGAGGAAACGAAAGAGAGAGAAGACACCAGAGAAAGAGAGCUGAGAAAGUGGAGUAGGCAGGCGGAGCAAGAGAGGAAGAGAGUCUAGAGAACGCUUCCACCGUUCCUGCGUCAACCUCAUCGUGACACGACCGGACAAAUCUACGGCGGCUAGACUGGACAUGCGUGAGAGUAUCUGCCACUGUUCAAUCUAAAGUCAAGGAACUGACCACCACACACACGCCACCCUCGCUGGAAUCUUCCAAAAUGGGUCUAGGGUUGAUUUAUUGAGAUCCGAGACCCAUUUCUCCGGCUACCCCCGAAAUUGGGUGCUGGCCAGCAGAUCCCGCGUGUCC